Molecule: non-coding RNA, 649 nt
Organism: Gasterosteus aculeatus aculeatus (three-spined stickleback)
Lineage: Eukaryota; Metazoa; Chordata; Actinopteri; Perciformes; Gasterosteidae
Source: RefSeq, a predicted model, not a curated record
CAGUCGCACUGUUCUCCUUUUUCCAGGAAGCCGUUCCCGCAGACGGAGGGGGGCAGCAGGUCGCUGAAGUCCGGUUUGUCCAGCAGGCAUUCGGGGUUGCGGCCCAGCAGCUUGUGAUUACAGACCCACCACUCAUGUUUGCUUCAUAUUGCUGCACACCAACUGGCUGGACCGCAGAGUGUCUCGUAGGAGCAGCAGCCCAGCACCUCACCUGAAUCACUCCAACAGAGUGACCCGAGCAGAGAGUCCCGAUGUACGCCAGUCCCACGGUGGCUCCUUCAAAGUCAAUACCGCUGAAAGACGAGCAAUGAAAUCAAUCGCCACGUCCACAUUAACUGGCAUCAUGUGGAUUCUUCAGUGCUGAUAAAAAGCUCAGAGUUCCUCCACAUCAUGAAAGCGUUCAGGUUGGCCCCGGCCGGGGGGGUCACGGUGAACAAGUCCCGUUCGGACCAGAUUUCCAGCCCCACCAAAGCGAUGAAGGUCCUCAGUGGCUUGUACGCCUGCAAGCAAGCAGGUGUUCACAGUUACCUUUAUUCAAAUGAGGAGACAUGGUCACCCUCCAAAUGCAAUAACAAUAGACAUUUCCUAUAUCUAUUAUCUACAUGGAGACUGAAUGUCGUCAUAAUAAAUACCCGUAUAUUCCUGCUGA